Non-coding RNA from Ciona intestinalis (vase tunicate), 1201 nucleotides. NCBI's taxonomy places the organism in Eukaryota, Metazoa, Chordata, Ascidiacea, Phlebobranchia, Cionidae. The record is from RefSeq and is a predicted model, not a curated record.
UGGGGGAAGAUGGGACACCUUUAGCCAAUAAUAUCCAAAUAUACUAAUCGUAAUUUAAAUAGUUAACAUUGGUCUAUGGAACUAGUGAGGAGGUUAUAAUUCUUUGAAUGUUCUUUGUUUACUAACAAAUGGGAUGAUUAAAGGGAAUGAAAGGGUGUCCCAUUUCCCCCCACUCUACUGUAUAUGUAAGAAAGUAAAAAGGGUAGUAAAACUGUGAAGGGGUUUAAACUUAUAAAAGAGUUGUGUGGAAGAAGAACAUAUCUUGUAUAGUAGAUGCAUGUAUUCAAAUGAAGCAAUCAUUUUCUUACCUGGGUUCGAAUCCAGACCCCCGUCCCCACCAAUGUUAACAGAAGAACAAACAACACGACAAGAAACAUGAAAAACUGAAACAAAAGAUAACUUAGCGGUUAUAGAGUAAGGUGGGGAAUGUACUUGCUGUUCGACAUCGCUCCACAACAACCGAUAACUGCCAAGCUCGCCGCUGCGCAUCCGGUUGCCAUGGCCACCAACGUUAUGUGGGAAAUGUAGAUGCAAGUGACACUGCUUGUCGCUACAGCAAUCAAGUUUACGUUGGCUGGAACCCAUCUCAUCCAAGCAGCAUGACUUACGAGUAAAACGCCAACUCCCUGAUGUUAAGACUACAGAUUACUGUCAGAUUUUUGUUUAAUAAUAGAAAGUGUGAAGAGUUAGAUGUAAAGAGGAAUUAGUAGCGUCGAGUAAGAUGGGACACUGCACAUUUACCCCAACAUUUUAAGAACUAAAAUUGCUGCCUUGCUGCCUUUCUUAAUUAAUAAUAUUAAAAAAAAAACAUAUAUUAAAACACAUCGAAAGUUCUUAAGCAGUUCUAGGUGUAACAUAAACAUUACAAAUCCGAAAACAGUCGGGGUAGGAUGAGAUAUAUUAAAAUCUUUGUUAAUUUUAUUUAUAAAUGACGUCAAAAUCCCCUUACUAUAUUUAUUUAAAGUGUUUUCCCGUUUUGUGUUUCCUUUUCCGCUAUGUGUCGUUUUGAGUAUUUCACGUGUUGUUUCUACCACUUUGUGUUAUUUACAUUCCUUCUACUGCAAUUAUUGAUUAGGCGUCUUUUGCGUCACGUGAGCGGCUGCGGGCAUAUCAAUCAGAGGCGCAGCCGCUUGGAAAAGCGUAAUUGUGGCCAGUUCUCUCUCUGGCGUGUUACAGUAAAGAGCUAUUUUAUACUCUGUUA